Molecule: long non-coding RNA, 1136 nt
Organism: Triticum aestivum (bread wheat)
Lineage: Eukaryota; Viridiplantae; Streptophyta; Magnoliopsida; Poales; Poaceae
Exons: 4
Source: RefSeq, a predicted model, not a curated record
AAAUCAUUCUCAUUUUUGCACACGGGAAAUAUUCAGGGAAGGCACUUUAGAUGCAAAAUACUGAGAUGCUUUCUGCUUGAAAACUAUAGUCAAAAGUUGAUUCACAAAAGUUCAGAAGUUCAGUCCAGAUGCCAAGGCAUGCUUAGCAUCUCAUAGUCAGAGGCUAUCCCGUCUCAACAUUGCACCUAUGCAGGUUUUCAAUUUAGGAGAUGAUUUGCACCUAUCCAUUUACUCUAAUGUAUUACAUACUAAUCCUUUUGGAGGCAAUAACGGAAGAAAAAUCUGUUGAUGUCUCCACGAGUCAAGUUAUAUAGCCGUUUCUGACUUGAAGGAAUAUUUGUGGGAUUUCAAUCAUUAGGAAGUUAGAGGGCAUCUGCAGCUUGGCAAAGUAGAUGUUGUUGACAUCAAUUAUUAAUUGUUAUUUUAUAAUGUUCCAUCAUUUUGUUUUUACACUUUUUUGCAGGCACUAGCAAUGUUUUACCAUUGACAGAGCAUUGUGAAUAUGGUAACAGACUACUUGGGUGUUCUGAAAUCGAAUUCUGUAUAUAAUAUAAGUUAAUGGAUCAUCCUGGGAAUGGACUAUGGAAUGGCAAACUAACAGGGCACAUCGCACAACUGGGUAUUGUCAAUCUACUUACAGACCACUUGCGUUGGGCAAGAGGGUUCUGCUGCGGAGACCAAGAAAAAGGAUGGGAACAUUGGGGACGCCUCAGCUGCCAUCGAGGAACACAACUCGGAACAGGAAAGCUCCACGCGAGGCUCCCCUGGCUGCCGAGCAUCUCUGAGAAGCCCAAAAUGAUAUGAGAUGAUGUCAUGGUGAUCGAUAGUGCCACGCAGGUUAUGCCGGAGACCAUCAUGUUCCCUGUCAAGCUCUUCCAGUUCUUCACCGAGAUUCUGCCAGCAGCAAGCGAGGUCAUCUCCUUCUUAGACCAGUACUAAGGACCGCCGUUAUGUGGAUCCAUUUUACAUGCAAAUGUCGAGCCCAUCAUAUCGUGUUCGACCCAUGAACUGGAAGGAUUGCUUGCCAUUAUGUGGUAUAGUUGUCCUUUGAGAUAUAUUGCUGUUUGUAUGAAUUAUGAGCUUCUCUGUGUCUAAAUUGUACUCAAAUAGUCUUCCAGAAAUCUUGUUUUUAUCCA